ACGUCAUGGCGCCCGAGGAGAACGCUGGGACCUAACUCUUGCUGCAGAGUUUGCAGCGCCGCUUUCUGGCGGCGCGCGCGCUGCGCUCCUUCCCCUGGCAGGUGGGCGGCGGGGCGAGCGGAGAGGCCCGCAGGGCUCGCGGGAGUCCAGGGGCAGACGGGAUGGGUCUCCGUGCAGAAGCCCCCGACACGCCCGCCACAGCUUAGAAGCAAAAUUAACAGACUCAUCAGAUUCUGAGCUUCUGCGGGAUAUUUUGCAGAAGCCCAUCCUAGGAGCCCCAGUGAAGAAUUCCUGUGCUAGAGGUGAACCAAGAUUAUCCAUGUGGAAAAGAUGCAGCCACAGCAGGGAAGACUUUCGGGGCAAUACAACUGUGAAGCAUCCUGUGUGUGUGACGCACCCGCCGUCAGUCAAGUAUGCCCGGUGCUUUCUCUCAGAACUCAUCAAAAAGCACGAGGCUGUCCACACGGAGCCUUUGGACGAGCUGUAUGAGGUGCUGGUGGAGACCCUGAUGGCCAAGGAGUCCACUCAGGGCCACUGGAGCUAUUUGCUGGCCAGGCCAGGAUCAGAUGGGAAGUGGAACCUCGUCAUGACCAGAAACUGUUUCCCUAUGAAGAGCACUUGGAGAUGGCAAUGCUGAACCUCACACUGUAGGACUCACACACGACUCCAAUGGGAUUGUGAGAAUCAAGUCACUCUCAAGGGAAGAGGUUUCAUAUGGGAAAGCUGAUAAAACUUUCACUGGACUGGAAUGUUUGGAGAAUGUUAAUUUCCAAAUCAGGAACUACAAACUGCCCUCUAAUAAGACAUCGGCUAUCUAAGCGUGUGGGUGCUCCCUUUCUGCCAGCAGUUCUGGUUCUUAAGGAAAUCGCCAUCACUCAGACAUGAAAACUCUGGCUCCAAAAAUAGCAUUUUCUUUGUGCAAAUAAAAACGUGUGUAUCAAGUA
Homo sapiens (human) is the source of this 944-nucleotide long non-coding RNA. Ensembl annotates it as family with sequence similarity 86 member J, pseudogene. Its record names the gene FAM86JP. The record is from Ensembl. NCBI's taxonomy places the organism in Eukaryota, Metazoa, Chordata, Mammalia, Primates, Hominidae.